Molecule: ribosomal RNA, 747 nt
Filed under: Triticum aestivum (bread wheat)
Lineage: Eukaryota; Viridiplantae; Streptophyta; Magnoliopsida; Poales; Poaceae
Description: partial small subunit ribosomal RNA
Source: RNAcentral
AUGCGCCUCAUCAAGCUACACUCUGCUAUCAACUAUCAGCCCUCUGUUCACAAUCAUGUGAUCUUUCUACCAGAGGUUGAUAUGUCAGUUGAAGCCAUAUACCCUGAGCCUGCCAAGAAGCCUCUUUGUCUCCAAAAUGCUGAACACCAAAGCUUCACUCAGCCUAUGGAAGGAGUCCAUGCAGUAAGUCGUGUCUAUCCGAUGGCUGGAAACACUCGUCUGUCUCAUCAUGCGCCAACUGAAGCUACUGAGAGCACAAUUGCCCAAAGGCCUAAGAAGCGCUCUCGCGUCCUCAAUGACCGAGAACUUCUUGUGGCACUGCAUCAGAAACAAGACAAGCAUCACUUUUGGCUCAAGCGACAGAUGCAAAGCCUCUUGGUGGACAUCAAUCGCAUUCAAAAUCUUGCCACCAAGAAUGCCUUUGUCGCUCACGAGACCUGUCGGCGAUCAUGGAAGAGUUUGACAUUGCUCAGUGCUGAAGCAGAUCUUCAAGACGAUGGCUUCACUGAAAGAUUCAACUUUGACUCCACUCCUCCGCGGAAUGCUGUCCUAUGUAGAAAUCCAUCCCUUGAAGACUCUGACUAUUCUUCCUCCGCGGUAACUGUGAAUGCCAACGUGAUCGAUGAUGAAGACGAUGCUACUUCACCACCCCCUACUUCUGCACGCAUCAACACUGCACCAAGUUCGUCUGCACCUCCAACCAACAACGACAACCCUGCUGCUUCACCUACUCAUGAGGACGAGUAG